GUCUAUGGCCAUGCCACCCUGAACAAGCCUGAUGUCUGAUCUCAGGAGCUAAGCAGGAUCAGGCCUGGUUAGUACUUGGAUGGGAGACUACCUAGGAAGACCAGGUGCUGUAGGCA
RNAcentral lists this ribosomal RNA (116 nucleotides) under Pteropus alecto (black flying fox). Lineage: Eukaryota; Metazoa; Chordata; Mammalia; Chiroptera; Pteropodidae. The record is from RNAcentral.